UUAAGUUAAUAAGGGCGCACGGUGGAUGCCUUGGCACUAGAAGCCGAUGAAGGACGUGACUAACAACGAAAUGCUUUGGGGAGCUGUAAGUGAGCAAUGAUCCAGAGAUGUCCGAAUGGGGGAACCCGGCAGGUAAUGCCUGUCACUCAUUACUGUUAAGGUAAUGUAGAGGAAGACGCAGUGAACUGAAACAUCUAAGUAGCUGCAGGAAGAGAAAGCAAAAGCGAUUGCCUUAGUAGCGGCGAGCGAAACGGCAAGAGGGCAAACCGAAGAGUUUACUCUUCGGGGUUGUAGGACUGCAACGUGGACUUAAAGAUUAUAGAAGAACUACCUGGGAAGGUAGGCCAAAGAGAGUAAUAGCCUCGUAUUCGAAAUAGUCUUUAUACCUAGCAGUAUCCUGAGUACGGCGAGACACGAGAAAUCUCGUCGGAAUCUGGGAGGACCAUCUCCCAACCCUAAAUACUCUCUAGUGACCGAUAGUGAACCAGUACCGUGAGGGAAAGGUGAAAAGCACCCCGGGAGGGGAGUGAAAUAGAACCUGAAACCGUGUGCCUACAACAAGUUCGAGCCCGUUAAUGGGUGAGAGCGUGCCUUUUGUAGAAUGAACCGGCGAGUUACGAUAUGAUGCGAGGUUAAGUUGAAGAGACGGAGCCGUAGGGAAACCGAGUCUUAAUAGGGCGCAUUAGUAUCAUGUCGUAGACCCGAAACCAUGUGACCUACCCAUGAGCAGGUUGAAGGUGAGGUAAAACUCACUGGAGGACCGAACCAGGGCACGUUGAAAAGUGCUUGGAUGACUUGUGGGUAGCGGAGAAAUUCCAAACGAACUUGGAGAUAGCUGGUUCUCUCCGAAAUAGCUUUAGGGCUAGCGUCGAUGUUAAGUCUCUUGGAGGUAGAGCACUGUUUGGGUGAGGGGUCCAUCCCGGAUUACCAAUCUCAGAUAAACUCCGAAUGCCAAUGAGAUAUAAUCGGCAGUCAGACUGCGAGUGCUAAGAUCCGUAGUCGAAAGGGAAACAGCCCAGACCACCAGCUAAGGUCCCAAAAUAUAUGUUAAGUGGAAAAGGAUGUGGGGUUGCACAGACAACUAGGAUGUUAGCUUAGAAGCAGCUAUUCAUUCAAAGAGUGCGUAAUAGCUCACUAGUCGAGUGACCCUGCGCCGAAAAUGUACCGGGGCUAAAACAUAUUACCGAAGCUGUGGAUACCUUUAUAGGUAUGGUAGGAGAGCGUUCUAUGUGCGAAGAAGGUGUACCGUGAGGAGUGCUGGAGCGCAUAGAAGUGAGAAUGCCGGUAUGAGUAGCGAAAGACAGGUGAGAAUCCUGUCCACCGUAAGACUAAGGUUUCCAGGGGAAGGCUCGUCCGCCCUGGGUUAGUCGGGACCUAAGGAGAGACCGAAAGGUGUAUCCGAUGGACAACAGGUUGAUAUUCCUGUACUAGAGUAUAUAGUGAUGGAGGGACGCAGUAGGCUAACUAAACCAGACGAUUGGAAGUGUCUGGCCAAGCAGUGAGGUGUGAUAUGAGUCAAAUGCUUAUAUCUCUAACAUUGAGCUGUGAUGGGGAGCGAAGUUUAGUAGCGAAGUUAGUGAUGUCACACUGCCGAGAAAAGCUUCUAGCGUUAAUUAUACUCUACCCGUACCGCAAACCGACACAGGUAGUCGAGGCGAGUAGCCUCAGGUGAGCGAGAGAACUCUCGUUAAGGAACUCGGCAAAAUGGCCCCGUAACUUCGGGAGAAGGGGCGCUGACUGAUGGUCAGCCGCAGUGAAUAGGCCCAAGCAACUGUUUAUCAAAAACACAGCUCUCUGCUAAAUCGUAAGAUGAUGUAUAGGGGGUGACGCCUGCCCGGUGCUGGAAGGUUAAGAGGAGUGCUUAGCGUAAGCGAAGGUAUGAAUUGAAGCCCCAGUAAACGGCGGCCGUAACUAUAACGGUCCUAAGGUAGCGAAAUUCCUUGUCGGGUAAGUUCCGACCCGCACGAAAGGCGUAAUGAUUUGGGCACUGUCUCAACGAGAGACUCGGUGAAAUUUUAGUACCUGUGAAGAUGCAGGUUACCCGCGACAGGACGGAAAGACCCCAUGGAGCUUUACUGCAGUUUGAUAUUGAGUAUCUGUACCACAUGUACAGGAUAGGUAGGAGCCUAUGACCUCGGGACGCCAGUUUCGAGUGAGGCGUUGUUGGGAUACUACCCUUGUGUUAUGGCUACUCUAACCCAGAUAGGUUAUCCCUAUCGGAGACAGUGUCUGACGGGCAGUUUGACUGGGGCGGUCGCCUCCUAAAAGGUAACGGAGGCGCCCAAAGGUUCCCUCAGAAUGGUUGGAAAUCAUUCGCAGAGUGUAAAGGUAUAAGGGAGCUUGACUGCGAGAGCUACAACUCGAGCAGGGACGAAAGUCGGGCUUAGUGAUCCGGUGGUUCCGUAUGGAAGGGCCAUCGCUCAACGGAUAAAAGCUACCCUGGGGAUAACAGGCUUAUCUCCCCCAAGAGUUCACAUCGACGGGGAGGUUUGGCACCUCGAUGUCGGCUCGUCGCAUCCUGGGGCUGUAGUCGGUCCCAAGGGUUGGGCUGUUCGCCCAUUAAAGCGGCACGCGAGCUGGGUUCAGAACGUCGUGAGACAGUUCGGUCCCUAUCCGUCGCGGGCGUAGGAAAUUUGAGAGGAUCUGCUCCUAGUACGAGAGGACCAGAGUGGACUUACCGCUGGUGUACCAGUUGUUCUGCCAAGAGCAUCGCUGGGUAGCUAUGUAGGGAAGGGAUAAACGCUGAAAGCAUCUAAGUGUGAAGCCCACCUCAAGAUGAGAUUUCCCAUGAUUUUAUAUCAGUAAGAGCCCUGAGAGAUGAUCAGGUUGAUAGGUUAGAAGUGGAAGUGUGGUGACACAUGUAGCGGACUAAUACUAAUAGCUCGAGGACUUAUCCAA
This 2898-nucleotide ribosomal RNA is filed under the name Streptococcus vestibularis. RNAcentral describes it as "23S ribosomal RNA". It matches the Rfam family "Bacterial large subunit ribosomal RNA". The record is from RNAcentral. Lineage: Bacteria; Bacillati; Bacillota; Bacilli; Lactobacillales; Streptococcaceae. RNAcentral also lists the same sequence under 1 other name.